CAAAGUUAGCCAACGUCAUCAAAUUUCGAUAUCUUACAGCUAAAUUAAACGCACACUAUAAAAACAUCCUACAAGAAUAUAUACAGUUGCUCAUAAACUGAUACUAAAUUACAAAGCACAAAAAGCUGGAAACUCUUAACCAGAUAUUCCAAAUUUGUAUGGGAUUUCAUUUUAAACAAAUAACAUAAUUUUACUAGAGCAUUAAUUCAUUAGUAAUGGCUGAAAAUGUUAUGCAUAAACUGAUGCAAACAACCAUAUUAAGUUCUAGUUAAGCAGUGUAAACCGACUCUACGAACAAUUUCAAAAUAAUUUUAAGUCAUUAUAAAGCCAUAGAGGAAUUAAACCACAUAUAUAAAUUUCAAUUACCUAUUGUAAUUAAAAGGUUAAUUUUAAAUAUAUUUAGCUUAGUUGAGUUGUUGAUUUAGGAACAAAUAUCUACUUAAGAUAGAAGUAAAACUUUCAGAUAUGGGCAGAUCACUUAUUUCGGUUAGUGGUUAUUAUAAAUUAAGACCCCUAACUUUUAGGAACUUUGUAAGGAUUAAAGGGUUCACAAAGAGGCCUUCUAGGACCACUCUGCUAAUUAGGUUAUGAUGAAGUGAAGUUGAGUUUGUGUUCUGGAAUGUAUUCCAUUUAUUCCUCUUCUCCCUCUCCUUCCUUCUGUCCUGCUUUCCUCUCACAACCACAUCUCCUAUUGGACAAUUGCCUAAACAGAGAAUAUUAGUUCAGCAAAUUGCCGCUGCCUCGGGCUUCUUUUUUCAGAAAAUUCAGCUGAACAUUUUUCCUCCAGCUCUGAAAUUUGCAAAAAAACCCCUGGGUCGUCCAAAAAAUUAUAGAAUAGCCCCCAUACAGUUAUAAAAGAAUUUCUUGUUUUGAUUUUCUUUUGGCCUUACAAACUAAAAUCUCCUAUAAGGUUGGGCCAGUUACUUUAAUCAACCAAACAAGCACCUAAUCAUUGCUUUCCUGGCCAUGUCUUUCUUUUGUGCCGGACGUAGCAAUUGUUUCUGCGGUGUUCAAAUUACUCGAUUCCUGGUAAAGUAGCAAUGCUUAUUAGUUAUUUGGUCUCUUAUCAAAACAAACUUCACCACCGUACAUUUUUGUAAGCUAUAGCAUGUUUCUUUAAAGGCUCCUUUUGGAAAUCAAUAACUACAAGUUAAUGGUUAUAUGAUUCCAUAGAACCAUGGUAAUUUCACGAAGACCCUUGCAAAAUGAGAACAAACUUCAACAAACUUUAAUUUUUUUUCAAAAAACUAUUGCGUCUAUUUUAGCGUACAGCUGAAGUAAAUUCCCUACUUGAAAAAAGAAAGAUCAAUCACAAAUAUGAUUCAAGAGAAGCUUAGUAAAAAUAUUGUGGAACACAGAAGAGAAAGCAUCAGAUCUAUUGCCUCAUCAAUGUUCUUACCAGGUGCAACAUACAAGCUAAAAUCAGAACUUAUCCUAUAAUUUAGACAAAAGAUCCAAAGAGUGAAAAGAUAGUAUGUGUGGUACAUGUAAUCAAAGCAAAAAACCCAAUAAAAUUUGCAAGCCAGAUGACAUGAAAAGUUGAGCAUGGCUUUAGAAGAAAAGUUAAUAAAUAAUUGAGUUGCCCAAAACAACAUCAAGGAUCUAACGUACU
This 1612-nucleotide long non-coding RNA is filed under the name Ananas comosus (pineapple). RNAcentral describes it as "long non-coding RNA (ACOM_LNC039300)". The record is from RNAcentral. Lineage: Eukaryota; Viridiplantae; Streptophyta; Magnoliopsida; Poales; Bromeliaceae.